Molecule: unclassified non-coding RNA, 258 nt
Filed under: Hevea brasiliensis (rubber tree)
Lineage: Eukaryota; Viridiplantae; Streptophyta; Magnoliopsida; Malpighiales; Euphorbiaceae
Source: RNAcentral
GGUCACAAAAACAAAUAUGAUUGUACUUGACCAUAGAAAUGCCAAAUAUUUCUUCCUUAUUGAUUUCCCAUAAUUCAAUUGCAGGAACCAUGUACAAGAUACAAAUAAAAUUAUGGCAGGGGGAAUAAUAAACACCCUGAUAAAAUUUUAAAAAGCCCAUAACUAAGAAUGGUUACAAGAGGAGGAAAACGCCUUUGGCAAGUUGUCUUACAAUAGAAACAGUACAUUUCCCUGAAAGAACCGCCAGUUAAGAGUACU